Molecule: ribosomal RNA, 253 nt
Filed under: uncultured bacterium
Lineage: Bacteria
Description: partial 16S ribosomal RNA
Rfam family: Bacterial small subunit ribosomal RNA
Source: RNAcentral
UUCGUAGGUGGCAAGCGUUGUCCGGAUUUACUGGGUGUAAAGGGCGUGCAGCCGGAGAGACAAGUCAGAUGUGAAAUCCACGGGCUCAACCCGUGAACUGCAUUUGAAACUGUUUCCCUUGAGUGUCGGAGAGGUAAUCGGAAUUCCUUGUGUAGCGGUGAAAUGCGUAGAUAUAAGGAAGAACACCAGUGGCGAAGGCGGAUUACUGGACGAUAACUGACGGUGAGGCGCGAAAGCGUGGGGAGCAAACAGG